UACGUAGGGACCAAGCGUUGUCCGGAAUCAUUGGGCGUAAAGAGCGUGUAGGCGGCCUGUUAAGUCUCGCGUGAAAUCUCGGGGCUCAACCCCGAGCGGUCGUGAGAAACUGGCAGGCUAGAGUGCGGGAGAGGAGAGUGGAAUUCCUGGUGUAGCGGUGAAAUGCGCAGAUAUCAGGAAGAACACCAGUGGCGAAGGCGGCUCUCUGGAACGCAACUGACGCUGAGACGCGAAAGCGUGGGGAGCAAACAGG
RNAcentral lists this ribosomal RNA (253 nucleotides) under uncultured bacterium. RNAcentral describes it as "partial 16S ribosomal RNA". It matches the Rfam family "Bacterial small subunit ribosomal RNA", at positions 524 to 776 of the family's 1533-position model. The record is from RNAcentral.